Molecule: ribosomal RNA, 458 nt
Filed under: uncultured bacterium
Lineage: Bacteria
Description: partial 16S ribosomal RNA
Rfam family: Bacterial small subunit ribosomal RNA
Source: RNAcentral
CCUACGGGUGGCAGCAGUGGGGAAUAUUGCACAAUGGGGGAAACCCUGAUGCAGCGACGCCGCGUGAGUGAAGAAGCGUUUCGGCGCGUAAAGCUCUGUCAGCGGGGAAGAAACACGGUUCGCGAGAGCCGCGGACGGUACCCGACCAAGAAGCCCCGGCUAACUACGUGCCAGCAGCCGCGGUGAUACGUAGGGGGCAAGCGUUAUCCGGGUUCACUGGGGGUAAAGGGAGCGUCGACGGCGAGGCAAGGCGGGAGUGAAAGGCCGGGGCCGAACCCCGGGACUGCUUUGGAAACUGCAUGGCUGGAGUACAGGAGAGGUAAGGGGAAUUCCUAGGGUAGCGGUGAAAUGCGUAGAUAUUAGGAGGAACACCAGUGGCGAAGGCGGCUUACUGGACUGUAACUGACGUUGAGGCUCGAAAGCGUGGGGAGCAAACAGGAUUAGAUACCCUUGUAGUC